Non-coding RNA from Mycena leptocephala, 91 nucleotides. Lineage: Eukaryota; Fungi; Basidiomycota; Agaricomycetes; Agaricales; Mycenaceae. The record is from the annotation of a GenBank genome assembly.
UCGAGCGUGGUGUACGGUACACUCUGGCUUUCAUUUCUGAUUGAGAAGAUAAGUUUAGCCAGCAUCCGGGGUUCGACUCCCCGCGUUCGAG